This 492-nucleotide ribosomal RNA is filed under the name uncultured bacterium. RNAcentral describes it as "partial 16S ribosomal RNA". It matches the Rfam family "Bacterial small subunit ribosomal RNA", at positions 29 to 507 of the family's 1533-position model. The record is from RNAcentral.
AGUGAACGCUGGCGGUAGGCCUAACACAUGCAAGUCGAACGGCAGCACAGUAAGAGCUUGCUAUUACGGGUGGCGAGUGGCGGACGGGUGGUGAAUACAUUGGAAUCUACUUUUGCGUGGGGGAGAGCGUAGGGAAACAUACGCUAAUACCGCAUACUACCUGCGGGUGGAAUCAGGGGAUCUUCGGACCUUGCGCGAUUUAAUGGCCUGAUGUCGGAUUAGCUAGUUGGCGGGGUAAAGGCCCACCAAGGCGACGAUCCGUAGCUGGUCUGAGAGGAUGAUCAGCCACACUGGAACUGAGACACGGUCCAGACUCCUAGGGGAGGCAGCAGCGGGGAAUAUUGGCCAAUGGGCGCAAGCCUGAUCCAGCCAUACCGGGUGGGUGAAGAAGGCCUUCGGGUUGUAAAGCCCUUUUGUUGGGAAAGACAAGCAGCACGUUAAUACAACGCUGUUCUGACGGUACCUAAAGAAUAAGCACCGGCUAACUUCGUG